Molecule: ribosomal RNA, 422 nt
Filed under: uncultured bacterium
Lineage: Bacteria
Description: bacterial SSU rRNA
Rfam family: Bacterial small subunit ribosomal RNA
Source: RNAcentral
UGAGGAAUAUUGGACAAUGGGCGCAAGCCUGAUCCAGCCAUGCCGCGUGCAGGAAGAAGCAUCUAUGGUGUGUAAACUGCUUUUGUACGGGAAGAAACACUCCUACGUGUAGGAGCUUGACGGUACCGUAAGAAUAAGGAUCGGCUAACUCCGUGCCAGCAGCCGCGGUAAUACGGAGGAUCCAAGCGUUAUCCGGAAUCAUUGGGUUUAAAGGGUACGUAGGCGGUUUAAUAAGUCAGUGGUGAAAGCCCAUCGCUCAACGAUGGAACGGCCAUUGAUACUGCUAGACUUGAAUUAUUAGGAAGUAACUAGAAUAUGUAGUGUAGCGGUGAAAUGCUUAGAUAUUACAUGGAAUACCAAUUGCGAAGGCAGGUUACUACUAAUGGAUUGACGCUCAUGCACGAAAGCGUGGAGAGCAAACA